Molecule: small nuclear RNA, 313 nt
Filed under: Microcebus murinus (gray mouse lemur)
Lineage: Eukaryota; Metazoa; Chordata; Mammalia; Primates; Cheirogaleidae
Description: 7SK RNA (ENSMICG00000022919.3)
Rfam family: 7SK RNA
About the family: 7SK was discovered as an abundant small nuclear RNA in the mid-70s but a possible function has only recently been suggested. Two independent studies have found that 7SK RNA binds the CDK9/cyclin T complex (known as elongation factor P-TEFb).
Source: Rfam by way of RNAcentral
GGAUGUGAGGACGAUCUAGCUGUGACAUCUGUCACCCCGUUGAUUGUCAGGGUUGAUUCGGCUGAUCUGGCUGACCAGGCAGGUGUCUCCUUCCUCCCUCACCACUCCAUGUAUGUCCGUCCCAAAGCUGCAUGCUUGGUGGCAGAGGAUGACCUUCCCUGAUAGAGAAGGACCAUUCUUUGGUCAACGGUACACAAGUAGCUACGCUUCCCUGCUAGAACCUCCAAACAUACUCUUAAAGAAUGUAAGUCUGUCGUAUCUCAUGUCAAGUAAGUGGGUUUUGGAUUAUCCACAUGAUCAACUCCAUGAGCCC